This 253-nucleotide ribosomal RNA is filed under the name uncultured bacterium. RNAcentral describes it as "partial 16S ribosomal RNA". It matches the Rfam family "Bacterial small subunit ribosomal RNA", at positions 8 to 254 of the family's 1533-position model. The record is from RNAcentral.
AUAGUUUGAUCAUGGCUCAGGACGAACGCUGGCGGCGUGCCUAACACAUGCAAGUCGAGCGGAGACAGUGAGUAGCUUGCUAUGAGCUGUUUUAGCGGCGGACGGGUGAGUAACGCGUGAGCAACCUUUCCCAGACAGGGGAAUAACACACCGAAAGGUGUACUAAUACCGCAUAAGACCACGGAAUCACAUGGUUCUGAGGUAAAGGAUUUAUCGGUUUGGGGUGGGCUCGCGUCCGAUUAGGUAGUUGGUG